AUUAAGUUGUUAGUAUUAACCAAAUUAAGAUAACACAUUUACACACACACAUACACACACAUAUUUCUCCAGUUAUAAGGAGGCCGGCCACUUCCAAUAAACACAGAGUGUAUGUAUUGUUCCCGUUGCUUUUGGACAGAUGAUCACAAGCGAGUGUAAAAGACUACGCAGAGAUUCUGACAAAAGCACGGGAACCUAGAAAAGUGCUUUAUAUUUUAAAAAAAAAUUAAUAAAUAAAAAACAAUUGUUACAUUAAAAAUCUUUUUAUUUACUACGGUCACCUUUAUCAAAUUCAACAGAUCAAUUUGCCGCCUGAAGAAGAAAGGUAAUCAAAUUUAUAAUUAAUUUAUACGUGUAAAUCGAUUUUACGUAACUAGGCACUCCCCGCCUUAUUUUUGAAUUACUACA
Molecule: non-coding RNA, 408 nt
Organism: Cinara cedri
Lineage: Eukaryota; Metazoa; Arthropoda; Insecta; Hemiptera; Aphididae
Source: the annotation of a GenBank genome assembly